Molecule: ribosomal RNA, 497 nt
Filed under: uncultured bacterium
Lineage: Bacteria
Description: partial 16S ribosomal RNA
Rfam family: Bacterial small subunit ribosomal RNA
Source: RNAcentral
GAUGAACGCUGGCGGCGUGCCUAAUACAUGCAAGUCGAGCGAACAGACGAGGAGCUUGCUCCUCUGACGUUAGCGGCGGACGGGUGAGUAACACGUGGAUAACCUACCCAUAAGACUGGGAUAACUUCGGGAAACCGGAGCUAAUACCGGAUAAUAUAUUGAACCGCAUGGUUCAAUAGUGAAAGACGGUUUUGCUGUCACUUAUAGAUGGAUCCGCGCCGCAUUAGCUAGUUGGUAAGGUAACGGCUUACCAAGGCGACGAUGCGUAGCCGACCUGAGAGGGUGAUCGGCCACACUGGAACUGAGACACGGUCCAGACUCCUACGGGAGGCAGCAGUAGGGAAUCUUCCGCAAUGGGCGAAAGCCUGACGGAGCAACGCCGCGUGAGUGAUGAAGGUCUUCGGAUCGUAAAACUCUGUUAUUAGGGAAGAACAAAUGUGUAAGUAACUAUGCACGUCUUGACGGUACCUAAUCAGAAAGCCACGGCUAACUACGUG